RNAcentral lists this non-coding RNA (76 nucleotides) under Sphingomonas sp. Its description in RNAcentral is "Fluoride sequence". It matches the Rfam family "Fluoride riboswitch aptamer (crcB RNA motif)". Lineage: Bacteria; Pseudomonadati; Pseudomonadota; Alphaproteobacteria; Sphingomonadales; Sphingomonadaceae. The record is from RNAcentral. RNAcentral also lists the same sequence under 1 other name.
GCCGAUCACGGCAAUGGAUUCCUGCCGGGCUCGUCCGAGCCGAACCGCCCGCAAGGCUGAUGAUUCCUACCUGUCG